GGGGGUGUAGCUCAGCGGCAGAGCACCGGCCUUUUAAGCCGUAGGUCCUGGGUUCGAUUCCCAGCACCCUCA
RNAcentral lists this transfer RNA (72 nucleotides) under Phycisphaerales bacterium. RNAcentral describes it as "tRNA-Lys". It matches the Rfam family "tRNA". Rfam says of the family: Transfer RNA (tRNA) molecules are approximately 80 nucleotides in length. Their secondary structure includes four short double-helical elements and three loops (D, anti-codon, and T loops). Lineage: Bacteria; Pseudomonadati; Planctomycetota; Phycisphaerae; Phycisphaerales. The record is from RNAcentral.